RNAcentral lists this ribosomal RNA (468 nucleotides) under uncultured bacterium. Its description in RNAcentral is "partial 16S ribosomal RNA". It matches the Rfam family "Bacterial small subunit ribosomal RNA", at positions 28 to 507 of the family's 1533-position model. The record is from RNAcentral.
GACGAACGCUGGCGGCGUGCUUAACACAUGCAAGUCGAACGGAAAGGCCCUGCUUUUGUGGGGUGCUCGAGUGGCGAACGGGUGAGUAACACGUGAGUAACCUGCCCUUGACUUUGGGAUAACUUCAGGAAACUGGGGCUAAUAUCGGAUAGGAGCUCCUGCUGCAUGGUGGGGGUUGGAAAGUUUCGGCGGUUGGGGAUGGACUCGCGGCUUAUCAGCUUGUUGGUGAGGUAGUGGCUUACCAAGGCUUUGACGGGUAGCCGGCCUGAGAGGGUGACCGGCGACAUUGGGACUGAGAUACGGCGCAGACUCCUACGGGAGGCAGCAGUGGGGAGUCUUGCACAGUGGGCGGGAGCCUGAUGCGGCGACGCCGCGUGCGGGAUGACGGCCUUCGGGUUGUAAACCGCUUUCGCCUGUGACGAAGCGUGAGUGACGGUAAUGGGUAAAGAAGCACCGGCUAACUACGUG